CACUUGAUCUUAAUUAUUCAUCGAAGUCGUAGAACAAUCCCACUUCAUGGACCUCUCAAUAGCCAUUUUCCACUUGGAAUAUCUGAGAUCUCUCUCUGAAACACAAAAUGAGUGAUGUAAAUUCGAAAUUAUUAGGUGAAAACUUGGUUAUCUGAGAUGCAUCUACGUCGUUUAUGUCGAUUAAACCUGCACCAAUACCAGCUAGAAUGGCAGCACCUAAAGCCGUGGUCUCGACCAUGUUUGGUCUCACUGUUCAACAUAAUUAUUUGCUUGAUACACAAUCAACAAAUAAAACAAAUGUUGUCUCAACAUAAA
Long non-coding RNA from Ooceraea biroi (clonal raider ant), 315 nucleotides. RefSeq lists it as uncharacterized. The record is from RefSeq and is a predicted model, not a curated record. NCBI's taxonomy places the organism in Eukaryota, Metazoa, Arthropoda, Insecta, Hymenoptera, Formicidae.